Molecule: ribosomal RNA, 508 nt
Filed under: uncultured bacterium
Lineage: Bacteria
Description: bacterial SSU rRNA
Rfam family: Bacterial small subunit ribosomal RNA
Source: RNAcentral
GAUGAACGCUAGCGGCAGGCCUAACACAUGCAAGUCGAGGGGCAUCAUGGCGUAGCAAUACGCUGAUGGCGACCGGCGCACGGGUGCGUAACGCGUAUGGAACCUACCCACCGCAGGGGGAUAACCCGCCGAAAGGCGGACUAAUACCCCAUGGUUCCCCGACCCUGCCUGGGGUUGGGGGUAAAGCCUACGGGCGGCGGUGGAUGGCCCUGCGUGCCAUUAGCUGGCUGGUGGGGUAACGGCCCACCAGGGCGACGAUGGCUAGGGGGUCUGAGAGGAUUAUCCCCCACACUGGUACUGAGACACGGACCAGACUCCUACGGGAGGCAGCAGUGAGGAAUAUUGGUCAAUGGACGCAAGUCUGAACCAGCCAUCCCGCGUGCAGGAAGACGGCCCUAUGGGUUGUAAACUGCUUUUCCAGGGAGAGAAACUUACGCACGUGUUGCGUGACUGACGGUACCCUGGGAAUAAGCAUCGGCUAACUCCGUGCCAGCAGCCGCGGUAAUCU